GACGAACGCUGGCGGCGUGCCUAAUACAUGCAAGUCGAGCGGAGUGUGAAAGGAAGCUUGCUUCCUUUCACACUUAGCGGCGGACGGGUGAGUAACACGUAGGCAACCUGCCCUCAAGCCUGGGAUAACUACCGGAAACGGUAGCUAAUACCGGAUAAUUUCUUUCUUCUCCUGAGGAGAGAAUGAAAGGCGGAGCAAUCUGCUGCUUGGGGAUGGGCCUGCGGCGCAUUAGCUAGUUGGUGGGGUAACGGCCCACCAAGGCGACGAUGCGUAGCCGACCUGAGAGGGUGAACGGCCACACUGGGACUGAGACACGGCCCAGACUCCUACGGGAGGCAGCAGUAGGGAAUCUUCCGCAAUGGGCGCAAGCCUGACGGAGCAACGCCGCGUGAGUGAUGAAGGUUUUCGGAUCGUAAAGCUCUGUUGCCAGGGAAGAACGUCCGGUAGAGUAACUGCUAUCGGAGUGACGGUACCUGAGAAGAAAGCCCCGGCUAACUACGUGCCAGCAGCCGCCGUAAAAC
This 521-nucleotide ribosomal RNA is filed under the name uncultured bacterium. RNAcentral's name for it is "bacterial SSU rRNA". It matches the Rfam family "Bacterial small subunit ribosomal RNA", at positions 28 to 526 of the family's 1533-position model. The record is from RNAcentral.